This 253-nucleotide ribosomal RNA is filed under the name uncultured bacterium. Its description in RNAcentral is "partial 16S ribosomal RNA". It matches the Rfam family "Bacterial small subunit ribosomal RNA", at positions 524 to 776 of the family's 1533-position model. The record is from RNAcentral.
UACGUAGGGUGCAGGCGUUAAUCGGAAUUACUGGGCGUAAAGCGUGCGCAGGCGGUUUGCUAAGACAGGUGUGAAAUCCCCGGGCUUAACCUGGGAACUGCGCUUGUAACUGGCAAGCUAGAGUGUGGCAGAGGGGGGUGGAAUUCCAGGUGUAGCAGUGAAAUGCGUAGAGAUCUGGAGGAACACCAGUGGCGAAGGCGACUACCUGGCCUGUUCUUGACGCUGAGGCGCGAAAGCUAGGGGAGCAAACGGG